UACGGGGGGUGCGAGCGUUAAUCGGAAUUACUGGGCGUAAAGGGUGCGUAGGUUGUUGUAUAAGUUAGUUUUGAAAUACCUGUGCUUAACAUGGGGGAGUGAACUAAAACUGUAUGACUUGAGUAAAGCAGAGGGUGGUGGAAUUUCCGGUGUAGCGGUGAAAUGCGUAGAGAUCGGAAGGAACAUCGGUGGCGAAGGCGACCACCUGGGCUAUUACUGACACUGAGGCACGAAAGCGUGGGUAGCAAACAGG
Molecule: ribosomal RNA, 253 nt
Filed under: uncultured bacterium
Lineage: Bacteria
Description: partial 16S ribosomal RNA
Rfam family: Bacterial small subunit ribosomal RNA
Source: RNAcentral